Molecule: ribosomal RNA, 254 nt
Filed under: uncultured bacterium
Lineage: Bacteria
Description: partial 16S ribosomal RNA
Rfam family: Bacterial small subunit ribosomal RNA
Source: RNAcentral
UACGUAGGGGGCGAGCGUUGUCCGGAUUCAUUGGGCGUAAAGAGUUCGUAGGCGGCUUGGUUAGUUGGGUGUGAAACCUCUAGGCUUAACCUGGAGACGCCACUCAAUACUGCCAUGGCUAGAGUCCGGUAGGGGACCACGGAAUUCCUGGUGUAGCGGUGAAAUGCGCAGAUAUCAGGAGGAACACCGGUGGCGAAGGCGGUUCUCUGGGCCUGUUCUGACGCUGAGGAGCGAAAGCGUGGGGAGCGAACAGG